UAUACAUGCAAGUCGAACGAACUUCCGUUAAUUGAUUAUGACGUACUUGUACUGAUUGAGAUUUUAACACGAAGUGAGUGGCGAACGGGUGAGUAACACGUGGGUAACCUGCCCAGAAGUAGGGGAUAACACCUGGAAACAGAUGCUAAUACCGUAUAACAGAGAAAACCGCAUGGUUUUCUUUUAAAAGAUGGCUCUGCUAUCACUUCUGGAUGGACCCGCGGCGUAUUAGCUAGUUGGUGAGGUAAAGGCUCACCAAGGCAGUGAUACGUAGCCGACCUGAGAGGGUAAUCGGCCACAUUGGGACUGAGACACGGCCCAGACUCCUACGGGAGGCAGCAGUAGGGAAUCUUCCACAAUGGACGCAAGUCUGAUGGAGCAACGCCGCGUGAGUGAAGAAGGGUUUCGGCUCGUAAAGCUCUGUUGUUAAAGAAGAACGUGGGUAAGAGUAACUGUUUACCCAGUGACGGUAUUUAACCAGAAAGCCACGGCUAACUACGUGCCAGCAGCCGCGGUAAUACGUAGGUGGCAAGCGUUAUCCGGAUUUAUUGGGCGUAAAGCGAGCGCAGGCGGUCUUUUAAGUCUAAUGUGAAAGCCUUCGGCUCAACCGAAGAAGUGCAUUGGAAACUGGGAGACUUGAGUGCAGAAGAGGACAGUGGAACUCCAUGUGUAGCGGUGAAAUGCGUAGAUAUAUGGAAGAACACCAGUGGCGAAGGCGGCUGUCUGGUCUGCAACUGACGCUGAGGCUCGAAAGCAUGGGUAGCGAACAAGGAUUAGAUACCCUGGUAGUCCAUGCCGUAAACGAUGAUUACUAAGUGUUGGAGGGUUUCCGCCCUUCAGUGCUGCAGCUAACGCAUUAAGUAAUCCGCCUGGGGAGUACGACCGCAAGGUGAAACUCAAAAGAAUUGACGGGGG
RNAcentral lists this ribosomal RNA (915 nucleotides) under Pediococcus pentosaceus. RNAcentral describes it as "bacterial SSU rRNA". It matches the Rfam family "Bacterial small subunit ribosomal RNA", at positions 50 to 919 of the family's 1533-position model. The record is from RNAcentral. Lineage: Bacteria; Bacillati; Bacillota; Bacilli; Lactobacillales; Lactobacillaceae.